RNAcentral lists this ribosomal RNA (117 nucleotides) under Metabacillus litoralis. RNAcentral's name for it is "partial 16S ribosomal RNA". It matches the Rfam family "Bacterial small subunit ribosomal RNA", at positions 1417 to 1533 of the family's 1533-position model. Lineage: Bacteria; Bacillati; Bacillota; Bacilli; Caryophanales; Bacillaceae. RNAcentral also lists the same sequence under 1 other name. The record is from RNAcentral.
ACACCCGAAGUCGGUGGGGUAACCGUAAGGAGCCAGCCGCCUAAGGUGGGACAGAUGAUUGGGGUGAAGUCGUAACAAGGUAGCCGUAUCGGAAGGUGCGGCUGGAUCACCUCCUUU